Molecule: ribosomal RNA, 400 nt
Filed under: uncultured bacterium
Lineage: Bacteria
Description: bacterial SSU rRNA
Rfam family: Bacterial small subunit ribosomal RNA
Source: RNAcentral
UGAGGAAUAUUGCGCAAUGGAGGCAACUCUGACGCAGCCAUGCCGCGUGAAGGAUGAAGGUCCUAUGGAUUGUAAACUUCUUUUGUACGGGAAUAAAAACUUCUACGUGUAGGAGCUUGAAGGUACCGUAAGAAUAAGCACCGGCUAACUCCGUGCCAGCAGCCGCGGUAAUACGGAGGGUGCAAGCGUUAUCCGGAUUUAUUGGGUUUAAAGGGUCCGUAGGCGGAUCGUUAAGUCAGUGGUGAAAGCUCUCGGCUCAACCGAGAAACUGCCAUUGAUACUGGCGAUCUUGAAUAUGUAUGAAGUUGGCGGAAUGUGUGGUGUAGCGGUGAAAUGCUUAGAUAUCACACAGAACACCGAUUGCGAAGGCAGCUGGCUAAUACAUGAUUGACGCUGAGGG